This 253-nucleotide ribosomal RNA is filed under the name uncultured bacterium. RNAcentral describes it as "partial 16S ribosomal RNA". It matches the Rfam family "Bacterial small subunit ribosomal RNA", at positions 524 to 776 of the family's 1533-position model. The record is from RNAcentral.
UACGUAGGCAGCAAGCGUUGUUCGGAGUUACUGGGCGUAAAGAGUGCGUAGGCGGUGUUCUAAGUUUGGUGUGAAAUCCCUCGGCUUAACCGAGGAACUGCCCUCCAAACUGCUUCGCUUGAGUCCGGGAGAGGUGAGUGGAAUUCCCAGUGUAGCGGUGAAAUGCGUAGAUAUUGGGAGGAACACCGGUGGCGAAGGCGGGUCUCUGGGCCGAUACUGACGCUGAGGAGCGAAAGCGUGGGGAGCAAACAGG